GAUGAACGCUGGCGGCGUGCCUAAUACAUGCAAGUAGAACGCUGAAGGAAGGAGCUUGCUCUUUCCGGAUGAGUUGCGAACGGGUGAGUAACGCGUAGGUAACCUGCCUUGUAGCGGGGGAUAACUAUUGGAAACGAUAGCUAAUACCGCAUAACAUUAGAUUUUGCAUGAUAUCUACUUAAAAGGUGCUAUUGCACCCCUACCAGAUGGACCUGCGUUGUAUUAGCUAGUUGGUGAGGUAAAGGCUCACCAAGGCGACGCUACAUAGCCAGACGGAGAGGGGGAGAGGCCACACUGGGAAUGAGACACGGACCAGACUUCUACGGGAGGGAGGAGGAGGGAAUGCUCCGCAAAGGACGGAAGUCUGACCGAGGAACGGCGGGUGAGGGAAGGAAGUUUUCGGAUCGGAAAGAAAUGUUGUAAGAGAAGAAAGAGUGUGAGAAUGGAAAGUGCACACUGUGACGGUAGCUGACCAGAAAGGGACGGCUAACUACGUG
RNAcentral lists this ribosomal RNA (497 nucleotides) under uncultured bacterium. RNAcentral's name for it is "partial 16S ribosomal RNA". It matches the Rfam family "Bacterial small subunit ribosomal RNA", at positions 28 to 507 of the family's 1533-position model. The record is from RNAcentral.